GAUUUCUGGCUUGAAACAUUAAGCCGGCCACGGUUUCGUGUGUUAGUGCUUGAUGUUCUGGCCAUCCUUCCAAUCGCUAUUCAUCUUUCUUCAUUGAUGGGUGAGUGGUAUUGGAUCUUUUACUUUGAAAAAAUUAGAGUGUUUCAAGCAGGCUUUAUGCUAUGAAUACAUUAGCAUGGAAUAAUAAUUUAGGACUCCUGUUCUAUUUUGUUGGUUUCUAGGACGGAAGUAAUGAUUGAUAGGGAUAGUUGGGGGUGCUAGUAUUCAGAGGCCAGAGGUGAAAUUCUCGGAUUCUCUGAAGACUAACUUAUGCGAAAGCAUU
This 322-nucleotide ribosomal RNA is filed under the name uncultured Sandonidae. RNAcentral describes it as "SSU rRNA". It matches the Rfam family "Eukaryotic small subunit ribosomal RNA", at positions 634 to 955 of the family's 1831-position model. The record is from RNAcentral. Lineage: Eukaryota; Cercozoa; Glissomonadida; Viridiraptoridae.